AGCUAGUUGGUAGGGUAAGAGCCUACCAAGGCGACGAUGGAUAGCCGGCCUGAGAGGGUGAUCGGCCACACUGGGACUGAGACACGGCCCAGACUCCUACGGGAGGCAGCAGCUAAGAAUCUUCCGCAAUGGGCGAAAGCCUGACGGAGCGACGCCGCGUGGACGAAGAAGGCCGAAAGGUUGUAAAGUCCUUUUCUUAGGGAAGAAUAAUGUAAAGAAUGGAAUGCUUUACAGAUGACAUUAACUGAGGAAUAAGCCCCGGCCAAUUACGUGCCAGCAGCCGCGGUAAUACGUAUGGGGCGAGCGUUGUUCGGAAUUAUUGGGCGUAAAGGGCGUGUAGGCGGUUUUAUAAGCCUGGUGUGAAAUCCCACAGCUCAACUGUGGAGACGCGCUGGGAACUGUAAGACUAGAGUUCAGGAGGGGAUGCUGGAAUUCCUGGUGUAGGGGUGAAAUCUGUAGAUAUCAGGAAGAACACCGAUGGCGAAGGCAAGCAUCUGGCCAUGGACUGACGCUGAGGCGCGAAAGCGUGGGGAGCGAACAGGAUUAGAUACCCUGGUAGUCCACGCUGUAAACGAUGUGCACUGGGUGUAGGAGGCGUUGAGCUUUCUGUGCCGUAGCUAACGCGUUAAGUGCACCGCCUGGGGAGUAUGCUCGCAAGGGUGAAACUCAAAGGAAUUGGCGGGGGCCCGCACAAGCGGUGGAGCAUGUGGUUUAAUUCGAUAUACGCGAGGAACCUUACCAGGGCUUGACAUGUACUUGAAGGCUUAAGAGAUUAAGUCGACCUUUAGGGGACGGGUACACAGGUGCUGCAUGGUUGUCGUCAGCUCGUGUCGUGAGAUGUUGGGUUAAGUCCCGCAACGAGCGCAACCCUUACUGUCUGUUGCCAGCAGGCCUUCGGGCGCUGGGGACUCAGGCAGAACUGCCGGUGACAAACCGGAGGAAGGUGGGGAUGACGUCAAAUCAUCAUGGCCCUUAUGUCCUGGGCUACACACGUGCUACAAUGGCCGGUACAAAGCGUUGCAAGACGGUGACGUCCUUAGCAAAUCGCAAAAAGCCGGUCUCAGUUCGGAUUGGAGUCUGAAACCCGACUCCAUGAAGUUGGAAUCGCUAGUAAUCGCGCAUCAGAAUGGCGCGGUGAAUAUGUUCCCGGGCCUUGUACACACCGCCCGUCACACCACCCGAGUUGGGGGUACCCGAAGUCGCUAGUCUAACUUUUAGAGGACGGUGCCGAAGGUAUGCCUGGUAAGGGGGGUGAAGUCGUAACAAGGUAGCCGUACCGGAAGGUGCGGCUG
This 1292-nucleotide ribosomal RNA is filed under the name metagenome. Its description in RNAcentral is "bacterial SSU rRNA". It matches the Rfam family "Bacterial small subunit ribosomal RNA", at positions 243 to 1520 of the family's 1533-position model. The record is from RNAcentral.